This 497-nucleotide ribosomal RNA is filed under the name uncultured bacterium. Its description in RNAcentral is "partial 16S ribosomal RNA". It matches the Rfam family "Bacterial small subunit ribosomal RNA", at positions 28 to 507 of the family's 1533-position model. The record is from RNAcentral.
GAUGAACGCUGGCGGCGUGCCUAAUACAUGCAAGUCGAGCGAACAGACGAGGAGCUUGCUCCUCUGACGUUAGCGGCGGACGGGUGAGUAACACGUGGAUAACCUACCUAUAAGACUGGGAUAACUUCGGGAAACCGGAGCUAAUACCGGAUAACAUGUUGAACCGCAUGGUUCAACAGUGAAAGACGGUCUUGCUGUCACUUAUAGAUGGAUCCGCGCCGCAUUAGCUAGUUGGUAAGGUAACGGCUUACCAAGGCAACGAUGCGUAGCCGACCUGAGAGGGUGAUCGGCCACACUGGAACUGAGAAACGGUCCAGACUCCUACGGGAGGCAGCAGUAGGGAAUCUUCCGCAAUGGGCGAAAGCCUGACGGAGCAACGCCGCGUGAGUGAUGAAGGUCUUCGGAUCGUAAAACUCUGUUAUUAGGGAAGAACAAAUGUGUAAGUAACUAUGCACGUCUUGACGGUACCUAAUCAGAAAGCCACGGCUAACUACGUG